This 1070-nucleotide long non-coding RNA is filed under the name Homo sapiens (human). RNAcentral's name for it is "HSALNT0363059". Lineage: Eukaryota; Metazoa; Chordata; Mammalia; Primates; Hominidae. The record is from RNAcentral.
AUCAAUUAGUCCAGGCACAUUGACACAAGCCCCUGGAUUUUGCAACGUGAUGGCGGUGUUUGACAACUACCAUUCUGCUUUAGCUUUCCUCCAGAAUACCUGCCUUGCAUUGGCCCUGGGUAAAUGUUUCCCUUGGCUGUGAAUAGGCAAUUAAAAUUCUGAACCUUUUAUGGCUCUGGAAGCUUAUCCGAUGAAACAAUACUCAUCCAGGCGGAUGGCCCACCAGCGCAAAGGGCUGAGGCCGCUGUAAGCCAAGGUACGCAACGCUUGCUAAACAGGAAUCCCUGGAAUGAAUCCAUGCAUGAGGCCUUUGUGCCAUGUGACAGUUGAAGGCUGUGGUGACCCCGGAACCGUCCCACUCCGAGACGCCUUAACACCGUUUUUCUGCUGUUACAAACCACAGAGCAACGCGUGUGCCUCCUCCCGCCCUGGGGACUCUUUCUGUGGGAGAGGUGCCUGGAUUUAGAGGAGCGACCACUCUUCAUUUGAUCUUGGUCACUUUCCCAGUUGUCACUCGGCCCACAAACUAGGAUGUGAGCAGCAUAUUAAGAAUCUGCAGAGAUGUUCCCGUCUGCCCGGCAUAUGGAUGUCCUUCUGGGCUGCAAAGUGGCAUCCUGUGGGCAACUCCCCCCACAACAACCAGCUGUGAGCUGUGCCCAGGCACAGAGGGACCUGGCUUUCCCUGUUUCUGCAGAUGGAGCCCAGGGUUUCAGGGAGGGAGGGGGCAGGCUGGGACCUGUUGGGGAUCUGGGCACUUUCUCAUGCUCCUUGAGCUGCAAGUCAUAGAAGGAGUGGGGUGGGAGCUGGGAAUGUACCUUCCCAAGGCCACUGGCAGAACCAGCAGGCCCUUUGCUCUGGGAUGAGCUCCCUCUGAGGGGUGGGGACAGUAAAGCGGACCGAAGUCCCUGUUCUGCGGGAUGGAAACUGGCUCCCCUCCAUUGUACAGGCCAGCUCUGGGGAUUUGGGCAGCAGAUUUGGGGUUGACAGCAGAAUGACAUGAUCACCAGUUGACCUUGGCCAGGAUGCCAGCUUACUUUCUCGCUUACUUCUGCAGGUUCUUUGUUCUGCGG